Molecule: ribosomal RNA, 460 nt
Filed under: uncultured bacterium
Lineage: Bacteria
Description: partial 16S ribosomal RNA
Rfam family: Bacterial small subunit ribosomal RNA
Source: RNAcentral
CCUACAGGUGGCAGCAGUGAGGAAUAUUGGUCAAUGGACGAGAGUCUGAACCAGCCAAGUAGCGUGAAGGAUGACUGCCCUAUGGGUUGUAAACUUCUUUUAUAUGGGAAUAAAACAGGGUAUGCCUACCCAAUUGUAUGUACCUUAUGAAUAAGGAUCGGCUAACUCCGUCCCAGCAGCCGCGGUAAUACGGAGGAUCCGAGCGUUUUCCGGAUUUAUUGGGUUUAAAGGGAGCGUAGGUGGAUUGUUAAGUCAGUUGUGAAAGUAUGCGGCUCAACCGUAAAAUUGCAGUUGAAACUGGCCGUCUUGAGUAUCGUAGAGGUAGGCGGAAUUCGUGGUGUAGCGGUGAAAUGCUUAGAUAUCACGAAGAACUCCGAUUGCGAAGGCAGCUCACUGGACUGCAACUGACACUGAUGCGCGAAAGUGUGGGUAUCAAACAGGAUUAGAUACCCGGGUAGUC